UCGAGAAUUUUUCACAAUGGGGGAAACCCUGAUGGAGCGACGCCGCGUGGGGGAUGAAUGGCUUCGGCCCGUAAACCCCUGUCAUUUGCGAUCAAAGCGCAUUAUUUAAAAGAUGAUGUGUUGAUAGUAGCGGAAGAGGAAGGGACGGCUAACUCUGUGCCAGCAGCCGCGGUAAUACAGAGGUCCCGAGCGUUGUUCGGAUUCACUGGGCGUAAAGGGUGCGUAGGUGGUGGGGUAAGUCGGAUGUGAAAUCUCGGAGCUUAACUCCGAAACGGCAUUGGAAACUGCCCUGCUUGAGGGUUGGAGGGGGGACUGGAAUACUUGGUGUAGCAGUGAAAUGCGUAGAUAUCAAGUGGAACACCGGUGGCGAAGGCGAGUCCCUGGACAACACCUGACACUG
This 400-nucleotide ribosomal RNA is filed under the name uncultured bacterium. Its description in RNAcentral is "bacterial SSU rRNA". It matches the Rfam family "Bacterial small subunit ribosomal RNA", at positions 355 to 748 of the family's 1533-position model. The record is from RNAcentral.